UACGUGGGGUGCAAGCGUUGUCCGGAAUUAUUGGGCGUAAAGAGCUCGUAGGCGGUUUGUCGCGUCUGCUGUGAAAACCCGAGGCUCAACCUCGGGCCUGCAGUGGGUACGGGCAGACUAGAGUGCGGUAGGGGAGAUCGGAAUUCCUGGUGUAGCGGUGAAAUGCGCAGAUAUCAGGAGGAACACCGGUGGCGAAGGCGGAUCUCUGGGCCGUAACUGACGCUGAGGAGCGAAAGCAUGGGGAGCGAACAGG
This 253-nucleotide ribosomal RNA is filed under the name uncultured bacterium. RNAcentral's name for it is "partial 16S ribosomal RNA". It matches the Rfam family "Bacterial small subunit ribosomal RNA", at positions 524 to 776 of the family's 1533-position model. The record is from RNAcentral.